RNAcentral lists this long non-coding RNA (418 nucleotides) under Setaria viridis. RNAcentral describes it as "long non-coding RNA (SVIR_LNC003419)". Lineage: Eukaryota; Viridiplantae; Streptophyta; Magnoliopsida; Poales; Poaceae. The record is from RNAcentral.
AUAGCUGCAUGUAGAGGUCUGCAUGUUGAUCGAGUGUGGGGGUGGGUAUCGUCCAUACAUCUAUGGAUCCACCAGAAAGUUUGGACAAUCUCAAAUAUGGAGCUAGACACCGAGAUACAUCUGAUAUGAAGAUCAUGGCGCAGAACGGUGUAGUCUACAUGGAAAAAUAUGAACUAGUCGAGGAUUAGGAAAGUACUCAUUGCAAUAAAACUAGAACUCCUCUUGUCGUAUCCGACAUGUAUUCUUGUAACCAACCGACAUGUAACCUUGCCCCCGCAAUAUAAUGCGAGGCAGGGAUCCCCUCCAAAGCAAUUUAAUCCAACCAACAUACAUGACAUAGGGUAUUAUGUAAUCUAGCGGUCCGAACCUAUCUAAAUCAUGUAUCUAUGUUUACCUUCGAGUUCCUGAUCUCGAUGAG